AUUGAGCGCUGGCGGCAUGCUUUACACAUGCAAGUCGAACGGUAACAGGUUAAGCUGACGAGUGGCGAACGGGUGAGUAAUGCAUCGGAACGUGCCCUGUCGUGGGGGAUAACGCAGCGAAAGCUGCGCUAAUACCGCAUACGAUCUGAGGAUGAAAGCGGGGGACCGUAAGGCCUCGCGCGAUCGGAGCGGCCGAUGUCAGAUUAGGUAGUUGGUGGGGUAAAGGCUCACCAAGCCAAAGAACUGUAGCUGGUCUGAGAGGACGACCAGCCACACUGGGACUGAGACACGGCCCAGACUCCUACGGGAGGCAGCAGUGGGGAAGUUUGGACAAUGGGCGAAAGCCUGAUCCAGCAAUGCCGCGUGCAGGAAGAAGGCCUUCGGGUUGUAAACUGCUUUUGUACGGAGCGAAAAGGCCUCCUCUAAUACAGGGGGCUCAUGACGGUACCGUAAGAAUAAGCACCGGCUAACUACGUGCCAGCCGCCGCCGCAG
RNAcentral lists this ribosomal RNA (493 nucleotides) under uncultured bacterium. Its description in RNAcentral is "partial 16S ribosomal RNA". It matches the Rfam family "Bacterial small subunit ribosomal RNA", at positions 29 to 523 of the family's 1533-position model. The record is from RNAcentral.